This 459-nucleotide ribosomal RNA is filed under the name uncultured bacterium. RNAcentral's name for it is "partial 16S ribosomal RNA". It matches the Rfam family "Bacterial small subunit ribosomal RNA", at positions 338 to 795 of the family's 1533-position model. The record is from RNAcentral.
CCUACGGGUGGCAGCAGUGAGGAAUAUUGGUCAAUGGUCGGGAGACUGAACCAGCCAAGCCGCGUGAGGGAGGAAGGUACAGAGUAUCGUAAACCUCUUUUGUCAGGGAACAAAGACUGGGACGCGUCCCCUGCUGAGUGUACCUGUAGAAAAAGCAUCGGCUAACUCCGUGCCAGCAGCCGCGGUAAUACGGAGGAUGCGUGCGUUAUCCGGAUUUAUUGGGUUUAAGGGGGGCGCAGGCGGUCUGUUAAGUCAGCGGUAAAAGCCCGGGGCUCAACCCCGGCCCGCCGUUGAAACUGGCAGUCUCGAGUGGGAGAGAGGUAUGCGGAAUGCGCGGUGUAGCGGUGAAAUGCAUAGAUAUCGCGCAGAACUCCGAUUGCGAAGGCAGCAUGCCGGCUCCAAACUGACGCUGAGGCACGAAAGCGUGGGUAUCGAACAGGAUUAGAUACCCGGGUAGUC